UACGUAGGGUGCGAGCGUUGUCCGGAAUUACUGGGCGUAAAGAGCUCGUAGGUGGUUUGUCGCGUUGUUCGUGAAAUCUCACGGCUUAACUGUGAGCGUGCGGGCGAUACGGGCAGACUUGAGUACUGCAGGGGAGACUGGAAUUCCUGGUGUAGCGGUGAAAUGCUUAGAUAUGACAUAGAACACCGAUAGCGAAGGCAGCUUACUACAGGAUGAUUGACGCUGAGGCACGAAAGCGUGGGGAGCAAACAGG
RNAcentral lists this ribosomal RNA (253 nucleotides) under uncultured bacterium. RNAcentral's name for it is "partial 16S ribosomal RNA". It matches the Rfam family "Bacterial small subunit ribosomal RNA", at positions 524 to 776 of the family's 1533-position model. The record is from RNAcentral.